Molecule: unclassified non-coding RNA, 320 nt
Filed under: plant metagenome
Description: partial contains 5.8S ribosomal RNA, internal transcribed spacer 2, and large subunit ribosomal RNA
Rfam family: 5.8S ribosomal RNA (bases 1-105)
Source: RNAcentral
GAAAUGCGAUAAGUAAUGUGAAUUGCAGAAUUCAGUGAAUCAUCGAAUCUUUGAACGCACAUUGCGCCCGCCAGUAUUCUAGCGGGCAUGCCUGUUCGAGCGUCAUUACAACCCUCAGGCCCCCGGGCCUGGCGUUGGGGAUCGGCGGAAGCCCCCUGCGGGCACAACGCCGUCCCCCAAAUACAGUGGCGGUCCCGCCGCAGCUUCCAUUGCGUAGUAGCUAACACCUCGCAACUGGAGAGCGGCGCGGCCACGCCGUAAAACACCCAACUUCUGAAUGUUGACCUCGAAUCAGGUAGGAAUACCCGCUGAACUUAAGC